RNAcentral lists this ribosomal RNA (1547 nucleotides) under Salmonella enterica subsp. enterica. RNAcentral's name for it is "partial 23S ribosomal RNA". It matches the Rfam family "Bacterial large subunit ribosomal RNA", at positions 1409 to 2925 of the family's 2925-position model. Lineage: Bacteria; Pseudomonadati; Pseudomonadota; Gammaproteobacteria; Enterobacterales; Enterobacteriaceae. The record is from RNAcentral.
GCGUAGUCGAUGGGAAACGGGUUAAUAUUCCCGUACUUGGUGUUACUGCGAAGGGGGGACGGAGAAGGCUAUGUUGGCCGGGCGACGGUUGUCCCGGUUUAAGCGUGUAGGUGUGUGUUCCAGGUAAAUCCGGUUCACUUUAACACUGAGGCGUGAUGACGAGGCACUACGGUGCUGAAGCAACAAAUGCCCUGCUUCCAGGAAAAGCCUCUAAGCAUCAGGUAACAUCAAAUCGUACCCCAAACCGACACAGGUGGUCAGGUAGAGAAUACCAAGGCGCUUGAGAGAACUCGGGUGAAGGAACUAGGCAAAAUGGUGCCGUAACUUCGGGAGAAGGCACGCUGACACGUAGGUGAAGUGAUUUACUCACGGAGCUGAAGUCAGUCGAAGAUACCAGCUGGCUGCAACUGUUUAUUAAAAACACAGCACUGUGCAAACACGAAAGUGGACGUAUACGGUGUGACGCCUGCCCGGUGCCGGAAGGUUAAUUGAUGGGGUCAGCGCAAGCGAAGCUCCUGAUCGAAGCCCCGGUAAACGGCGGCCGUAACUAUAACGGUCCUAAGGUAGCGAAAUUCCUUGUCGGGUAAGUUCCGACCUGCACGAAUGGCGUAAUGAUGGCCAGGCUGUCUCCACCCGAGACUCAGUGAAAUUGAACUCGCUGUGAAGAUGCAGUGUACCCGCGGCAAGACGGAAAGACCCCGUGAACCUUUACUAUAGCUUGACACUGAACAUUGAGCCUUGAUGUGUAGGAUAGGUGGGAGGCUUUGAAGUGUGGACGCCAGUCUGCAUGGAGCCGACCUUGAAAUACCACCCUUUAAUGUUUGAUGUUCUAACGUGGACCCGUUACCCGGGUUGCGGACAGUGUCUGGUGGGUAGUUUGACUGGGGCGGUCUCCUCCUAAAGAGUAACGGAGGAGCACGAAGGUUGGCUAAUCCUGGUCGGACAUCAGGAGGUUAGUGCAAUGGCAUAAGCCAGCUUGACUGCGAGCGUGACGGCGCGAGCAGGUGCGAAAGCAGGUCAUAGUGAUCCGGUGGUUCUGAAUGGAAGGGCCAUCGCUCAACGGAUAAAAGGUACUCCGGGGAUAACAGGCUGAUACCGCCCAAGAGUUCAUAUCGACGGCGGUGUUUGGCACCUCGAUGUCGGCUCAUCACAUCCUGGGGCUGAAGUAGGUCCCAAGGGUAUGGCUGUUCGCCAUUUAAAGUGGUACGCGAGCUGGGUUUAGAACGUCGUGAGACAGUUCGGUCCCUAUCUGCCGUGGGCGCUGGAGAACUGAGGGGGGCUGCUCCUAGUACGAGAGGACCGGAGUGGACGCAUCACUGGUGUUCGGGUUGUCAUGCCAAUGGCACUGCCCGGUAGCUAAAUGCGGAAGAGAUAAGUGCUGAAAGCAUCUAAGCACGAAACUUGCCCCGAGAUGAGUUCUCCCUGAGACUUAGAGUCUCCUGAAGGAACGUUGAAGACGACGACGUUGAUAGGCCGGGUGUGUAAGCGCAGCGAUGCGUUGAGCUAACCGGUACUAAUGAACCGUGAGGCUUAACCUUACAACGCCG